AAGUCGUAACAAGGUCUCCGUAGGUGAACCUGCGGAGGGAUCAUUAACAAAUCUCAAACACACAUCCUGUGUAACCGUCUGUUCCUGGUGUGGUGACAAUGGAUAGAGUGGGGAGUGUCUAUCUGUGUGCGUGCCGUGGUAAAACACACACACGCAGCACUCGCCAGGAACAUCAUACAUACCAUUGUCAGAUCGUAUUAUUACUUAUGUAAUGACACAACAACUUUUAACAAUGGAUCUCUUGGCUCUU
This 250-nucleotide unclassified non-coding RNA is filed under the name fungal sp. Its description in RNAcentral is "partial internal transcribed spacer region". The stretch from base 1 to 46 matches the Rfam family "Eukaryotic small subunit ribosomal RNA", at positions 1786 to 1831 of the family's 1831-position model. RNAcentral also lists the same sequence under 1 other name. The record is from RNAcentral. Lineage: Eukaryota; Fungi.